This 798-nucleotide ribosomal RNA is filed under the name Triticum aestivum (bread wheat). RNAcentral's name for it is "partial small subunit ribosomal RNA". The record is from RNAcentral. Lineage: Eukaryota; Viridiplantae; Streptophyta; Magnoliopsida; Poales; Poaceae.
AUGGAUCCUGCAUUAGUACUACUUGAUGUAAAUCUGUCACGGACAAGUAAGGCCUUCGCCUCUCACUCCUCUCCUACCCACUACUCCUCUCGCUCUGCCUCCCCACAACCAAAAGGUUUGGUUUUCGUUCCACUCCCCACCCCGGCGAGGUUGCCUCCUCCAGCUAAUCUCCCUCGCCAUUGCCGUGCUUCGUUGGUUCGUCUUCCCUUCACUCCCGUAGUGACAUCAUCGAUGGGGACCAAAUGUCUCAUGGUGGUGACCAGCAUCCUGGCCGUGAUGACGGUCGUUUUCGGAAUCAUCAGCGCGGUUCUCUUGGCAAUGAAACAUCAUCAAGAUGACAAUGGCGAGUUCUCUACGUACCGACGAUCGCCGGCGAUGCCAUGUGGCGUGGUAGCGGCCGUGUUGGCAUCGAUGACGCAGAUUCUUGCCGGCGUGGCGAUCUGCUGCUUUGGGGCGUGGCGGGUAACUAAGGGGGCCAAGCGCAUCGCCGCGGUGGUCUUCUUCAUCACCUCAUGGGUCCUCGCGAUCAUAGCAGUGCUACUAUUUCUGGCAGGGGCCAUGUUAGGAUUUGAAGGCUCUGCAAAGAAAACUGUUGGGAAUGCUAGGAUUGUCGGAGGUGUCGCAAUUUUCGUGAUCGCGACAUUUUUGUUUCUUGUAGUCGCCGCCCUUGAUGUUGCCUCAUACCGCCUAGUUCGGAAGAAGGACCACUACCAAGCAUAUGUUGGCAGUAAUCCUCCUUUUGUGCCAUCUAAAGACGCUCCCUACGGUUCUGCUCCUCCACCGCCAAAUCAAGUCUAA